RNAcentral lists this ribosomal RNA (799 nucleotides) under uncultured Glomus. Its description in RNAcentral is "SSU rRNA". It matches the Rfam family "Eukaryotic small subunit ribosomal RNA", at positions 314 to 1114 of the family's 1831-position model. The record is from RNAcentral. Lineage: Eukaryota; Fungi; Glomeromycota; Glomeromycetes; Glomerales; Glomeraceae.
AUCAACUUUCGAUGGUAGGAUAGAGGCCUACCAUGGUGGUAACGGGUAACGGGGUGUUAGGGCACGACACCGGAGAGGGAGCCUGAGAAACGGCUACCACAUCCAAGGAUGGCAGCAGGCGCGCAAAUUACCCAAUCCCGACACGGGGAGGUAGUGACAAUAAAUAACAAUACGGGGUUCUUUAGGAUCUCGUAAUUGGAAUGAGUACAAUUUAAAUCUCUUAACGAGGAACAAUUGGAGGGCAAGUCUGGUGCCAGCAGCCGCGGUAAUUCCAGCUCCAAUAGCGUAUAUUAAAGUUGUUGCAGUUAAAAAGCUCGUAGUUGAAUUUCGGGGUUAGUAGGUUGGUCAUGCCUCUGGUAUGUACUGGUCUCACUGAUUCCUCCUUCCUGAUGAACCGUAAUGCCAUUAAUUUGGUGUUGCGGGGAAUUUGGACUGUUACUUUGAAAAAAUUAGAGUGUUUAAAGCAAGCUAACGCUUGAAUACAUUAGCAUGGAACAAUGAAAUAGGACGUUCGAUCCUAUUUUGUUGGUUUCUAGGUUUGACGUAAUGAUUAAUAGGGAUAGUUGGGGGCAUUAGUAUUCAAUUGUCAGAGGUGAAAUUCUUGGAUUUAUUGAAGACUAACUACUGCGAAAGCAUUUGCCAAGGAUGUUUUCAUUAAUCAAGAACGAAAGUUAGGGGAUCGAAGACGAUCAGAUACCGUCGUAGUCUUAACCAUAAACUAUGCCGACUAGGGAUCGGAUGAUGUUAAUUUUUUAAUGACUCAUUCGGCGCCUUACGGGAAACCAAAGUGUUUGGGUUC